AUCACUUCUUGGCCUUUUGGCUAAGAUCAAGUGUAGUAUCUAUUCUUAAUCAGUAAAAUUUCUGGUCACUUUCUUUUUUUUUUUUUUUUUUUUUUGUUUUUUGGGACAGGGUCUCACUGUGUAGUUGAGACUGACCUGGAACUCACUAUGUAGCCCAGGCUGGUCUUGAACUCAC
Molecule: small nuclear RNA, 175 nt
Filed under: Fukomys damarensis (Damara mole-rat)
Lineage: Eukaryota; Metazoa; Chordata; Mammalia; Rodentia; Bathyergidae
Description: U2 spliceosomal RNA
Rfam family: U2 spliceosomal RNA
About the family: U2 is a small nuclear RNA (snRNA) component of the spliceosome (involved in pre-mRNA splicing).
Source: Rfam by way of RNAcentral